UUAAGUGAAUAAGGGCGUACGGUGGAUGCCUAGGCACUUGGAACUGAAGAAGGACGCAACAAACGGCGAAACGCGACGGGGAGUGGUACGUACACAAAGAUCCGUCGAUAUCCGAAUGGGGAAACCCGGCAGCAGUAAUGAGCUGUCACCCAUGAGUGAAUACAUAGCUCAUGAGGGAGGUACCCGGAGAACUGAAACAUCUAAGUAUCCGGAGGAAAAGAAAAUAAGAAUGAUUCCGUAAGUAGCGGCGAGCGAACGCGGAGGAGCCCAAACCAGAUCUUGAUCUGGGGUUGUAGGACCACGAAAUGGCAAGAGCAUGGCUAAGAGAACGGCAUUGAAAGGCCGACCGGAGAGGGUGCAAGUCCCGUAACUGAAAGUCUAGCGAAGCCUAGUGGUAUCCUGAGUACGGCGAGACACGAGAAAUCUUGUCGGAAGCAGGCGGGACCAUCCGUCAAGGCUAAAUAUACCCAAGUGACCGAUAGUGAACCAGUACCGUGAGGGAAAGGUGAAAAGAACCGCGGGAGCGGAGUGAAAUAGAACCUGAAACCGUAUGCUUACAAGAAGUCAGAGCCCGUUAAAGGGUGAUGGCGUGCCUUUUGUAGAAUGAACCGGCGAGUUACGUUAUCGUGCGAGGUUAAGUAGAAGAUACGGAGCCGAAGCGAAAGCGAGUCUUAAUAGGGCGACAGUACGAUGAUGUAGACCCGAAACCGUGUGAUCUAGCCAUGACCAGGUUGAAGUUCAGGUGAAACUGAAUGGAGGACCGAACCGACCCCCGUUGAAAAGUUGGCGGAUGAGUUGUGGCUAGGGGAGAAAUUCCAAUCGAACACGGAUAUAGCUGGUUCUCCCCGAAAUAGCUUUAGGGCUAGCGUCGAGGUAGAGUCGCAUGGAGGUAGAGCACUGAAUGUACGAUGGCCCCAUCCCGGGGUACUGAGUAUAAUCAAACUCCGAAUGCCAUGCAGACAUACUCGGCAGUCAGACUGUGGGUGAUAAGGUCCAUGGUCAAAAGGGAAACAGCCCAGACCGCCAGUUAAGGUCCCAAAAUGUAUGCUAAGUGGAAAAGGAUGUGGGGAUGCACAGACAACUAGGAGGUUGGCUCAGAAGCAGCCAUCCUUCAAAGAGUGCGUAACAGCUCACUAGUCGAGUGACCCUGCGCCGAAAAUGUACCGGGGCUAAGCAUACUACCGAAGCUGCGGAUUCAACUUCAGAGUUGAGUGGUAGGGGAGCGUUGCAUGCACGUAGAAGCCGUACCGUAAGGAGCGGUGGAGAGCAUGGAAGAGAGAAUGCCGGUGUGAGUAGCGAGAUGUAGGUGAGAAUCCUACACACCGAUAGCCCAAGGAUUCCAGGGGAAGGUUCGUCCGCCCUGGGUAAGUCGGGACCUAACGCGAGGCCGAAAGGCGUAGUGGAUGGAAAACAGGCAGAUAUUCCUGUACCCGCGAUGGAAAUGAAGGAAUGACGGAGAAGGCUAGUGUGAGCCACUGAACGGAUUGUGGUCGAAGCAUAUAGCAGGCUGACAGUGAAAUGCGUCAGCGGGAUGUAAGAUGUGACAGGUAAGGGAACGUCCUCGGACAAGUACUGAAGCACAUGAUGCCAGCUUCCAAGAAAAGUUUCUAGUGAUAAUUCCAUAGCGGCCCGUACCAAAACCGACACAGGUGGGCAAGGAGAGAAUCCUGAGGUGAGCGAGAGAACUGUUGCCAAGGAACUCGGCAAAAUGACUCCGUAAGUUAGCGAUAAGGAGUGCUCUUGUAAAAGAGAGCCGCAGUGAAGAGGCCCAAGCGACUGUUUAACUAAAACACAGCUCUCUGCAAAGUCGCAAGACGAAGUAUAGGGGGUGACGCCUGCCCGGUGCUGGAAGGUUAAGAGGAUUUGUCAUCCGCAAGGAGAAGCAAUGAAUUGAAGCCCCAGUGAACGGCGGCCGUAACUAUAACGGUCCUAAGGUAGCGAAAUUCCUUGUCAGGUAAG
Molecule: ribosomal RNA, 1959 nt
Filed under: human gut metagenome
Description: bacterial LSU rRNA
Rfam family: Bacterial large subunit ribosomal RNA
Source: RNAcentral